Molecule: ribosomal RNA, 165 nt
Filed under: uncultured bacterium
Lineage: Bacteria
Description: partial 16S rRNA
Rfam family: Bacterial small subunit ribosomal RNA
Source: RNAcentral
UAGGGAAUCUUCCACAAUGGGCGCAAGCCUGAUGGAGCAACACCGCGUGAGUGAAGAAGGGUUUCGGCUCGUAAAGACUCUGCUGUUAAAGAAGAACACGUAUGAGAGUAACUGUUCAUACGUUGACGGUAUUUAACCAGAAAGUCACGGCUAACUACGUGCCAC